Leucoraja erinaceus (little skate) is the source of this 2616-nucleotide long non-coding RNA. RefSeq lists it as uncharacterized. The record is from RefSeq and is a predicted model, not a curated record. The transcript has 2 exons. NCBI's taxonomy places the organism in Eukaryota, Metazoa, Chordata, Chondrichthyes, Rajiformes, Rajidae.
CACCAGAAGGGGCUGCAGAGAGGGAAGAUGGGGCUUAACCACAACCCCACCAGCCGGAGGCACUGUGACCUGCGGCCACCAGAGGGCGGCACAGGUGCAUUGGACAGUGGGCGGGUUUCAUGAAUGAUCAACAGUUCUUUAUGUGUCACAUAUACAACCAAAGCUCCUCUAGUAUCUGUAUUACAAUGUAUGCAAAUACACAAUGAAAUAAUUUUAACAUCUAUUACACAUGCAGGCACCACCAUGUUUUGGCACCAAUUCCAAAGUCUGGUCUCCCCGAGCGCACGAAAACCUGGAGCAGUUAAUGAGGGUACACAAAAAAGCUGGAUAAACUCAGCAGGUGCAGUAGCAUCUAAGGAGGGAAGGAAAUAGGCAACGUUUCGGGCCGAAAGCCUUCUUCAGACUGAGGACAGUUAAUGAGGACCAACUUGCCCGACCAUCUUUGUGCCCUGGGGGCCCUUCCUGCAACCAACCUUGAAGGCGUUGGAAUUAUUACCCCGGUUCACCUGGAAACUAUUUCAUUCAUUGGCACGGCACUUCAUUGGCACUUUCUAACUCGUUUUUCUUCAAGACAGCAAAGGAUUGAAAUACCCCACCAGCCAGCAUCAGAGAUCUCCAAAACAUCAACCCAUACAAAGAUGCACUGACUCCAAAAGCAUCUCCAUCUCCACUAGCACGCCCACUACCAUCAUAGUGCUGAGAUGCUCUACCUAGAGCUUUUCAGUGUAUUACAUCCAGAUCCAGACCCUCCCCUAUCGACCCUCGCUCCUCAUCUCCAGCUCCCUCCCGCCAACCGCCGAGACUACGCGUCUGCUGAGCUGGCACCACAGCACGUCAGAAACCCUUCUCAAAUAGUAUGUGUAGGAAGCAACUACAGAUGUUGGUUCACACUGAAGAUAGACACAAGAUGCUGGAGUAACUCAGCGGGUCAGGCAGCAUGUCAGGAGAGAAGAAAUAGGUGUCGCUUCAGGUUGAGACCUUGGCCUACGCAAUGCUGUGGCGGGCUGUCUCGGAGCGGAGAUGGCGUUCCGGCUUUCUGCGGCGGCGACAUCACCAUGGAGGUCCACUGGACUGGAGGGCGGCAUCUCCGUCCUGGAUCGAUCGCCUCAGCGCAGAGGAAGAACAAGGAGGGAAGAGACGGAGACUAAGAUUUUGCCUCCAUCACGAUUUCCAGCAUUUCCUUUCCCUUCAUCGACAAAGCAGCUCACCAAGAUGACUUUUUCAAAUAAUUCCUUGCCAACCUACUCGAGACUGCCAGGUCACGAGCCAGCUUCAUCCAUCUAACUCGUACACAGUGCUAUAAGGCAUCACAGGUCUGCCACUAAUGAGGACGUUCUUCCCAGCAACAGGAUGCUAGUAUUUUCAGGUGGAGAAUGGUCCUUGAUCAUAACACCGAAUGGUGCAAGAUUAAUGGACACACGUUGUGACUAACCUCAUGGUGGUUAAUUCUAGUAAAGUCCAUGAAAUUGAAUCUCGGGCAGUGAAUUUAGAAUUGGCAAGCUAAUACUCCAAACGCCUUUCUAAUGUGAGGAACCAAUUUCCACUGCACUUGUUUAAGAGCAAAGAAUUUAGUUUCCAAGAGAGUAAUGGGCCUGUCUCAUUUAGGGGACGUUUUAGACGACUGCAGGAGACUAUGUAGUCACCACAUGGUCGCCACAUGUUCGCGGGUGGUUGCCGGGGAGUCGCCUUCAUGGUCGUGAGGAGUUCCCGCAUUCUGGGAACUAGUCACGGCCUCAUUAUGGUCGCCGUGAAUUUUUCAACAUGUUGAAAAAUUAGCGGCGACUAGAAUGAAACCGUCAUGGAGAGUAUCAAGAAUUCUCGAGCCGUAGGUGGGUUGCCAGGAGGUCCUAAUGGGUUGACAGGAGGUCAAAGAUUUUCGUAGGUUGUAGCCUACGAGAACUGACCGGUGAAUUUCAUUGGCUCAUUGGGAAAAAAAAGGUAAGCAGUAGUUUUCAGAACCAAGGAUAACCGACCAGUAAUGUUAAAUGUCCGCUGAGCUUCACAGCCGUGAUUCUCUGGCUUCUUAAAAGUUGUCUCCCAUCCUUCUCCCCGCCUCUCCCUCCCUCUUUUAAAGGGCUUACCGUACACUGUGCUUUUGCCGUCUUUUUACAGUGCCAACCUUCCUGUUCAUCGUGGUGUGUGUCUGUUUCACCUUGGCUUUGCACCGUGUGAAUUUUUUAGACAGCGCUCCCCCGCUUGCCCUGUCCCCCUCCUGCAUAACAUGCUGGUGAAGGAAGCGAUGUGUUUGUGUGUGCGUGUGUGUAUUCCAUUCUGACAGUCACUGUUCCAGUUGCCGGUUUUUCAGGCGAUUGCCAGCAACUUGACAGUCUACGGCAGUCUGCUGAAAAAUCGCCUAAGUGGGACAGGCCCAUUAGUCAAUCCACCGAAUUACUCAUUUUUGCGAAGGUCAAACAAUUAUAGUGAAGAAGCAGAAAUAUUUAUGUCAAUAUCCUUCUCAAGAUCCCCAAUCCACUGUUCUCUUUAGAAGAAAGGAUUUGGUUGCUGUAUUAUUACUUACUGCAAUGCACUUGCUAACUUUAAGCAUGACAUUCCCCUGUGGAGAAGACUUCUUGUACAAGGAACUUCCUCCAAUAAAGACAACUGAAAGACACAGCA